UGUCUCACUAGCGGGCUGAUCUUGAGGGUGUGCAUAUACACGAGACUGAAUAUUGAAGUCGUGCUUGAUUUUCUUUUACGAUACUUCCUAAUGCUGUAUGUGUGAUAUGUGAGUCCCGUUUCAUCAGCACCUGAGGUUUGCAACACUCUGCUGGAGGGGCCACCAACAGCUCAGAUUGCCCUGCACCAUGAAACUCACUGUAGUUCUGCUGCUCUGUGGCUGCUGUAUGCUAUUUCAACACAACUGUGAAGCCCAAGUCUUAUUUUCCUCAGUAGAAACAUCUCCACCACCCUCGGCCAGUAACUGCACGUGUGAGCUGGGCCAUGGAAAGUGUGCUGAAACCGGUGACUGCGGGUGUGAUCCGGGAUGGGGUGGACCGCGGUGUGAAGACUGUGUGCGAAUGCCCGGAUGUGUCCAUGGCACCUGCCAUCAGCCCUGGCAGUGCACAUGCAUGGACGGGUGGG
Molecule: long non-coding RNA, 464 nt
Organism: Sinocyclocheilus grahami
Lineage: Eukaryota; Metazoa; Chordata; Actinopteri; Cypriniformes; Cyprinidae
Exons: 4
Source: RefSeq, a predicted model, not a curated record